This 543-nucleotide ribosomal RNA is filed under the name uncultured bacterium. RNAcentral describes it as "partial 16S ribosomal RNA". It matches the Rfam family "Bacterial small subunit ribosomal RNA", at positions 355 to 889 of the family's 1533-position model. The record is from RNAcentral.
UGGGGAAUUUUGGACAAUGGGCGAAAGCCUGAUCCAGCAAUGCCGCGUGUGUGAAGAAGGCCUUCGGGUUGUAAAGCACUUUUGUCCGGAAAGAAAUCCUUGGCUCUAAUACAGUCGGGGGAUGACGGUACCGGAAGAAUAAGCACCGGCUAACUACGUGCCAGCAGCCGCGGUAAUACGUAGGGUGCAAGCGUUAAUCGGAAUUACUGGGCGUAAAGCGUGCGCAGGCGGUUUGCUAAGACCGAUGUGAAAUCCCCGGGCUCAACCUGGGAAUUGCAUUGGUGACUGGCAGGCUAGAGUAUGGCAGAGGGGGGUAGAAUUCCACGUGUAGCAGUGAAAUGCGUAGAGAUGUGGAGGAAUACCGAUGGCGAAGGCAGCCCCCUGGGCCAAUACUGACGCUCAUGCACGAAAGCGUGGGGAGCAAAACAGGAUUAGAUACCCUGGUAGUCCACGCCCUAAAACGAUGUCAACUAGUUGUUGGGGAUUCAUUUCCUUAGUAACGUAGCUAACGCGUGAAGUUGACCGCCUGGGGAGUACGGUCGC